GGAGAAUUACUCAAGAGGCUGAAGAGGACGGUUUGCUAAAUCGUUAGGUCGGGGGUAACCGGCGCGGGGGUUCGAAUCCCCCAUUCUCCG
Molecule: transfer RNA, 90 nt
Filed under: Streptococcus infantis
Lineage: Bacteria; Bacillati; Bacillota; Bacilli; Lactobacillales; Streptococcaceae
Also listed under: 1 other name
Description: tRNA-Ser
Rfam family: tRNA
About the family: Transfer RNA (tRNA) molecules are approximately 80 nucleotides in length. Their secondary structure includes four short double-helical elements and three loops (D, anti-codon, and T loops).
Source: RNAcentral